Molecule: ribosomal RNA, 116 nt
Filed under: Panthera tigris altaica (Amur tiger)
Lineage: Eukaryota; Metazoa; Chordata; Mammalia; Carnivora; Felidae
Source: RNAcentral
GUCUACGGCCAAACCACCCUGAACGCGCCCGAUCUCGUCUGAUCUCGGAAGCUAAGCAGGGUCAGGCCUGGUUAGUACUUGGUUGGGAGAAUAAAAGAGUCCAUGCACUGUUUAUU